AGAGUUUGAUCAUGGCUCAGGACGAACGCUGGCGGCGUGCUUAACACAUGCAAGUCGAACGAUGAAGUUCCUUCGGGGAUGGAUUAGUGGCGAACGGGUGAGGAACACGUGAAGAAUCUGCCCUCCACUUUGGGAUAACACCGGGAAACCGGUGCUAAUACCAAAUAUUGAAAUAUAAGUGGCAUCACUGAAUUUUGAAAGAAUUUCGGUGGAGGAUGACUUCGCGGCCUAUCAGCUUGUUGGUGAGGUAAUGGCUCACCAAGGCGACGACGGGUAUCCGGCCUGAGAGGGCGACCGGACACACUGGGACUGAGACACGGCCCAGACUCCUACGGGAGGCAGCAGUGGGGAAUAUUGGGCAAUGGACGAAAGUCUGACCCAGCGACGCCGCGUGAGGGAUGAAGGCCUUCGGGUUGUAAACCUCUUUCAGUAGGGAAGAAGCGAAAGUGACGGUACCUAAAGAAGAAGCACCGGCUAACUAUGUGCCAGCAGCCGCGGUAAUACAUAGGGUGCAAGCGUUGUCCGGAAUUAUUGGGCGUAAAGAGCUCGUAGGUGGUUUGUUGCGUCGGGUGUGAAAUUCAGGGGCUCAACCCCUGACCUGCACUCGAUACGGGCAAACUAGAGUUUGGUAGGGGAGACUGGAAUUCCUGGUGUAGCGGUGGAAUGCGCAGAUAUCAGGAGGAACACCAAUGGCGAAGGCAGGUCUCUGGGCCAAUACUGACACUGAGGAGCGAAAGCGCGGGGAGCGAACAGGAUUAGAUACCCUGGUAGUCCGCGCCGUAAACGAUGGGCGCUAGUUGUGGGGACCUUCCACGGUUUCUGCGACGCAGCUAACGCAUUAAGCGCCCCGCCUGGGGAGUACGAUCGCAAGAUUAAAACUCAAAGGGAAUUGACGGGGACCCGCACAAGCAGCGGAGCAUGCGGC
Molecule: ribosomal RNA, 925 nt
Filed under: uncultured bacterium
Lineage: Bacteria
Description: bacterial SSU rRNA
Rfam family: Bacterial small subunit ribosomal RNA
Source: RNAcentral